GAUCCCCGGACGCGCGGCCCCCCCACCCGCGGCCCCGCGCGCCUCUCCCUGACACCACCCUCCGCGGCCCCCUCCGGACCCUCUGGCCCCCAAGACGCCCCUCCGGCCCUCCCCUAGGAGAGGGGGCCCUCGCCAAGUCUCCGCCUUCCUGCCCUCCUCCUGUCAAUGCCGCUGUCCAGAGCUCGCAGCCCUGGGAACGCCACUCCAGCGGGGCCUCCUUCUCCUGGGACCCCCUGGGCCCCACCCCCAGGACCUCCCACCUCUGCAAACCCCGAGUUUGCUUUUCCCAUCCACCGGGCAGCUCUUCUCCACGCCCACCUGGCUGGACCCGGGAAACCGAAGAAGUUAGUGGGGGUUCACCAGUAGGAAUCGGUAUGAGGGAGAGCCUGGAGGAGGAAAUGGGGAAAGGGGAAAUGUUCAGAAGGAAUGGAGGACAGCGAGCAGGGUAUUCGGGGAUGGAGGACCAAGUGUGUUUCUUUGGGAAGUGCUGGCAUGUAGGGGUGUGUGCUGUGUACCUGUGUGAAGGAUGUACGCAGAAUGUAGAGUAUGGGGUACGUGAGGGUGGUGUGUACGUAUGUGUCCUGUGGCGGGGAGCGGUGUGCAUUCCGAGAUGUGCGCAGGGUGAACACAGUGUACGUGCAAUGUCCAGGCGUGUGGUGUGCAAGUGUGUGUCUGUGUGUUAUGUGGUGAAUGUGCAGGAAAGGUGUCGCCUUGAGGUGUGGGUAGAGUAUUGUAGGUGCUGGGGGGUUAUGAAUAGGGUAUGCGGGAGAACUGGCUAGAGAUUUCUCUCAGAGGACCAGCCAUGGAGAAGGCCAGGAUGAAGUCUUGGGGAGAACCUCGGGUGAGUUCAGCUCUGAGUCCAUUUCCGUUUUCAGAUCUGGCAGACAAAUCCCUCACACUCAGGUAAAUAAAUUCGGCCUGUGCUCGAGUGCACGAGAAGGGAGAACGUUGUAGUAGCCCAGAUCUGGACUUGGACCACUGGAGGCCUCCCUCUGGCAACCCCGCCCUGGCCUGCAGUCCGGGGUGUGGGUGAUUCAGGCCGCCUGCGCAGCAGCUUCGGAACCGCGGGUUGCCUUGGCUGCGCCUUUAGCUGGGGCUGGGAGAAGCCGGGUCCGAGAGUCGGGAAGAGGGAGAGGUGGAGAGAAUGCGCCUGCGCACGAGUCUUUCCCACAGCAGGUUCAAGUCAGGAAAAGGCCUAGGGACUUUCCUAUUUUUUGCCCUUUAAAGUCAGAGACCCUUCCAAAACUGAGCGCUGUAUUGCCUGGGGAAGCCGCGCCUAUGUGUCCGAGGCAGCUCUGGGGUUCUUGCCCACCCUUCCGGGAAGCCGAUUGCUAGUGGGUGUAUGGAGGCUUUCCAAAGACUCCCGGAGGUUUGCGUGGGUUUCACUUCGGGCCAUAGCUUCAGAAAGAGCGAGCCUGCCUCUCUGUAUUUUUAGCAGGAGGAGCAGAAUUUGAAACAGCAGCAUACCGGUCCUGCGCCUGGUGAAGGAUGACUCGCCAGAAAGCAAAGGCACAGCCCUACCUCCGCGAGCUUGGCGCGUGGCCCAGGAGGCUCCGCGAGCCCUCGUACGUAAGGAUCGCGGCGCCCACGCUUGAGAGCAGAGCUCAGUGCAAACUUCCAACGGUUCUUCCAGUUUCCAGGGAAACGAGAUCUGGAGCUGCUGUGCGUUGCAGAGCUGCCUCUCUGCAACCCACAUGGGACCCCUGUGGCUGGCUGGUCUUGGGGAAGAAGGAGUUGAAGCCACCACAUCCAUGAAGGUUUUGUCUGGAGCCUGUCUGAUCCGAUGCAUUCAGUACUGAAAGCUUUCAGGAACAUUCUUUUACUCACUUCUCAGGACAACCGGUGAGGUAGGUCCCCUGUUAUCCCCAGUAGGACUUUUCAUUAGUAAAUUAGUGACUGGAAUUGGGACAGAAACCCACACUCUGUGACCAGGCUAUGCUCCCCCCACCCCCGAUGCCUUCCUGAUUCCAACCCCUGCAGAGGAUCCUCAAGGUGCAGGAUUUCCCUGGAGUACAAAUAGGUCUUUUCUAUCAGGUCGGAUUGGAAAUGGCCAGGUCAGGAGAAUUCCAACUAUUUCUGGGGCUAGCUGAGUAUGUACGUGUCUGUGGUGCCAAAAAAAAAAAUAAAUAAAAAUCUAGUUCUUUGGAGAGUAUGGUGGCAGGAGCCUGCAAACACGGAGAGGGGAACUCACUGAGAAGGGUCUUUAAGCCGAAGCAAUUCAAUUUUAUUCUGAGGGCAGGAACACAGAGAUUUCAGGCGAGCAUCCUGGCGUGUGCUGAGAAGGAGCUCUGCUGCCUGGGAUCUAGGGGAGCGAAAGGAGCUUUCUCUCUGCUUGCAGUGUAAAAUCCCAGGUACAGGGAAUCACCCUGCAGCUUCUGCUCAGCAGUCUUUCUAAAAGGACUGGGAGUUAGCGGAGAGUGGGAGGGGCAAUCUGUGGUCCCGCGACAGCGAAACCGGGGAUGACAUUGAAGCUAACCCAGGUAGGAUUUUAGAGCAGAUUGAAUUGCUUUAUUUCAGGAUCCUUUCACCGAGGAAGAGCUCAUCAUGCUCUGUUGUGAGCCAUCCUCAACUUCCACUUGCAGAGUCUGCUUAACCUUCCAUGCAUGCCAAGGAGGGGACCCAGGGUAGCUGCGGUCUAGUCACGUGACCUGGAGGGUCAGAGGCAGGAAGGAGAGCAACUCCAGAAAGAACCACACCGGUGAGGGAUAACUUUGCCACUUUUCCAGGAAAAUGACAUCAUUAACUACUGUUCAAGUUCCUACAGAGGUCUGGCGGCCUUCUGGGGGCAGGUAUCACUCUCCCACACCAUCACCUUUUAAAUAUUUUAUUAACAUAUGUCUUAGUCUACCUUCUUUUACUGUAACUGAAUAACAUUUACAAAGAACAAUGGUUUAUUUAGCUAACACUUCAGAAGUGCUUGCAACUGUGAAGCCCUUGUGCUGUGUAUAGUAUGGUGUAAGGAAUGACUUGGCAAGACAGAGCAGCCAAAGAGCUUCUUCCACAACAAAACCGCUCAACCAAUUAUAUCCCAAAGGUUCCACCAAACACCAUGAGCAUAUGACUUUGGGGGUCACGUUUCUCGCCUGUGGAUUCUGGGGACAAGCGUUCAUGCAUCACAAGUAGCCAAAUAGUUGAAAUGUUCAUUGUUAAGCCUCACCCCCUCCCGACCCCCCUUUUUUUCCUAGGAACAGCCACGUUAAUCUGUUACUUCACACAGGCAGUGCAGGCAUCCUCUGUGCAAAACACCCAACGGUGAAUCUUCCAAAGAAUUCAUGAAACCGUAGCCGAGUUCUCAGAGACACAACAGUGUUUCUUACUAUGUUCAAAGUCUUAUAGAAUGUAACACAGAAAAUAUUAAAUAUACAAUGUGCUAUCUUCAUGGCAUAGAAACAAGCAUUUAUCUAACUUACGAAAGACAGAAGUGCCCGAGACACGGCCCAGGACCUGUCAGCCAACCAGAGCUUCUUCCUGCACUUGCUUAGGCAUUUGUAGAAGGAAUCUAUCCCAGCCGCUACAGCUGGUCUGGUUUGUUUUCUUUUGUUUGUUCAUUUGUUUUUAUUUUACAGAGAGUCAGAGAGCAUGAUUCUCCCUACCUGGCUUCUUUUGUUCCAUAAAUAAUGUUUGUGGAGCGUGUCCACGAUGCUGCGCACAGCCCUGGCUCACUCAUGGCUGGUAAUGAAACCCUGCAGCUGACCAGUUUCACUGCAUGAAUAGAAGCGUGACUGGAAAUGUGGCGUACGUUGGCCCUGUGGAUUCUCCUGUAAUAGCCCAAGCACAUAUUAUACCUCUUUCAGCUGAUCCCUCGAAAACUCAUCACUACUCAACCUGGUCUCCUCUGGAGUCUAAAUGAAGCACUUAAUGGGAAUCCACCUAAGCCUCCUCUGGCUUCUGUUUAUGACAGUAAAGAGUCCAGGUAAGUCAUGUCAGGGGUAGACAGAGCUGCCAGCUGCCCAUGUCUUAGCGAGAUCAGUGAGCUAUAUCUCCCAAGAGAGAAUUGUCAUUCUGCCUCUCUGCCAUGAGGACACUGCUGGACCACCUCUGCAGGAGCUUGCACUGAUGCUGUGCUAGAAAGAACAAAGACCCUUCUCUGCUUUGGUUUCCUUUAGAAAUGGUUCUGGCUCUGUCUCCCACAUACUCCAGCCUCCCACCACUCCAACUGGGGUGAACUUUCCUUCUACCUGUGGAACACAUCAAAUGGAGUUCUUGUGUUUCCUGUGUUCAUUUUCUCGUCUGAAAUCAUGCUGUUGCUGCUGUCUACCACACUAUGUCCUUGUAUUCCUAGACCUCCAAAACCAGGGCUGGACAGUCCAGGUGGAGCCUUUCUUCCUUAGCAGACGUAAGUAGACACAACCAUCCUGUAGGGCGAACAAGAGCUUGGUGGCUGGACAACCACUUCAGAUUUUCAAAUACACCCUCACAGAGAUGCUCAGGGAUGCUCACUGAAGUUUCAUCUGAGGCAGGGAGUCACAAGAAAGCAGAGAAGGAUGACCCCUGCCAAAACCAUGUUAGAGCAAAGGUGGCAGGGUCUCCCUUCCCUUGAAAUAACUCAAAUGCUGGACAGAGGACAGAAAGCAUGGUUUUCAAAUGCUAAUCAUGAAACAAGGCAAGACUGUGACAGAGAAUCAAAGAAAGCCUCCAGUGCCUCGUGUAACAGCUUAAGAGUUGCCAGCAAUGGUGCCAGCCGAGGAGCCCAGGCAGACUCAAAGAACUUCCCUGGGUUUAAGAGACAUGCUUGUGCUCAAGGGACCAAACUAAAUGUAUACAGGUUUGAUUUUUGUCAAUUAUGCUUCAAUAUAACUAUAAAAACUGGGGUAAAAGCACACUGUAAAAUACUGUCAAUCAGAAGUAACAAAGCUGUAUCUAAUACAUAACUCUAAGUGAGUAAAGAAUCAAUAUUGUCCAACCA
This 4906-nucleotide small RNA is filed under the name Rattus norvegicus (Norway rat). RNAcentral describes it as "uncharacterized LOC102556249". Lineage: Eukaryota; Metazoa; Chordata; Mammalia; Rodentia; Muridae. The record is from RNAcentral.